RNAcentral lists this small nuclear RNA (164 nucleotides) under Propithecus coquereli (Coquerel's sifaka). RNAcentral's name for it is "U1 spliceosomal RNA (ENSPCOG00000000229.1)". It matches the Rfam family "U1 spliceosomal RNA". From Rfam's summary of the family: U1 is a small nuclear RNA (snRNA) component of the spliceosome (involved in pre-mRNA splicing). Its 5' end forms complementary base pairs with the 5' splice junction, thus defining the 5' donor site of an intron. Lineage: Eukaryota; Metazoa; Chordata; Mammalia; Primates; Indriidae. The record is from Rfam by way of RNAcentral.
ACACUUACCUGGCAGGGGAGAUACCAUGAUCACUAAGGUGGUUAUCCCAGGGUGAGGCUUAUCCAUUGCAUUCCAGAUGUGCUGACUCCUGCAAUUUCCUGGAAUGUAGGAAAAUCUGCUGCAUAAUUUGUGGUAGUAGGGGACUGCGUUUGUGCUCUACCCUG